CUGAAAUCUGGCAUGUAGGACAAAGCAGCUGGAAAAUUUCACAGUUUGACAUAUCAUUGUUGGUAGUUGAAGAGAACUCUGGUAUUCUUUGUUUCAUUUUAGUAUUAGUGGCAUGGAGAAUGGAAAAGAAAGAGAAACGGAACCUCUUACCCCAGAGCUAUAUAAUGCCUCAUAUUCCCUCUUCCUUCAAAGAAAAGAGGCAAUAAAGAAGUGUUUCUUAUCUUGCUCCCAUUUUGAAAAUAGCCUUCCUGGCGUUGUGCACGAACCUGCGACCCAGCUUCUUGGCAUACCAGAUAGAGGCAAACAUAGCGAUGCCAGUGGAAGGGAUGCACAAUGAAGCUGCUGCACAAUCAACUUCCCACCUCGGCUCAGAGACGAAUGGAUCCGGCUGGAGCUGUCACUUGCA
Molecule: long non-coding RNA, 406 nt
Filed under: Vulpes vulpes (red fox)
Lineage: Eukaryota; Metazoa; Chordata; Mammalia; Carnivora; Canidae
Description: lncRNA (ENSVVUG00000017547.1)
Source: RNAcentral